This 1195-nucleotide ribosomal RNA is filed under the name human gut metagenome. RNAcentral's name for it is "bacterial LSU rRNA". It matches the Rfam family "Bacterial large subunit ribosomal RNA", at positions 1209 to 2453 of the family's 2925-position model. The record is from RNAcentral.
CAUAAGUAAUUAUGAGCGGUAGAGGAGCAUUCUGUAGUAGGGUGAAGUAUGAUCGAAAGGACAUAUGGACGAGGCAGAAGAGAGAAUGCUGGAAUAAGUAGCGAGAGCAAAGUGAGAAUCUUUGCCGUCGAAAGUCUAAGGUUUCCUGGGGAAGGUUCGUCCGCCCAGGGUAAGUCGGGACCUAAGGUGAGGCCAAGGAGGCGUAGCCGAUGGAUAGCAGGUAUAAAAUUCCUGCACUACCGAAAUACUUAAAAACGAUAAGGGACGCAGGAGAGGAAGGAAAUCCGGGAAGAGGAAAAACCGGAGCCGAAAGGCAUAGUGAAAAUUUAAAGUAACGAAGUUCCAAGAAUCACACUGACGAGAAAAGCUUAUUGACAUUGUAUUAAGGUACCCGUACCGCAAACCGACACAGGUAGAUGAGGAGAGGAUCCUAAGACGAGCGAGAGAAGUACUGUUAAGGAACUCGGCAAACUAACCCCGUAACUUAGGGAGAAGGGGUACCUAUGUAAAAGUAGGUCGCAGAGAAGAGUCCCAAGCAACUGUUUAACAAAAACACAGGUUUCUGCUAAAUCGAAAGAUGAAGUAUAGGAGCUGACGCCUGCCCAGUGCUGGAAGGUUAAGGGGAAAUGUUAGAGUAAUCGAAGCAUAGAACUAAAGCCCCAGUGAACGGCGGCCGUAACUAUAACGGUCCUAAGGUAGCGAAAUUCCUUGUCAGGUAAGUUCUGACCCGCACGAAAGGCGUAAUGAUUUGGGAGCUGUCUCGACAGUAUACUCGGCGAAAUUGUAGUACUAGUGAAGAUGCUAGUUACCUGCGACAAGACAGAAAGACCCCAUGGAGCUUUACUGUAGCUUGAUAUUGGGUUUCGGUAAUUUAUGUACAGGAUAGGUGGGAGACUAUGAAGCAAGAGCGUCAGCUUUUGUGGAGUCACCCUUGGGAUACCACCCUUAAAUUAUUGGAAUUCUAACCUGUGAUCAUGAACUGGUCAGGGGACAAUGUCAGGCGGGCAGUUUGACUGGGGCGGUCGCCUCCUAAAGAGUAACGGAGGCGCCCAAAGGUUUCCUCAACCCGGACAGAAAUCGGGUGAAAGAGUGCAAAGGCAGAAGGAAGCUUAACUGAAAGACAGACAUGUCGAGCAGAUACGAAAGUAGGGCUUAGUGAUCCGGUGGUAUGUGAGUGGAAAUGCCAUCGCUCAAC